AGAGUUUGAUUCUGGCUCAGGACGAACGCUGGCGGCGUGCUUAACACAUGCAAGUCGAACGAAGCAGCUUAACGGAACUCUUCGGAGGGAAGAUGAGUUGACUGAGUGGCGGACGGGUGAGUAACGCGUGAGCAACCUGCCCAUAAGAGGGGGAUAACAGUUGGAAACGACUGCUAAUACCGCAUAAGACCACAUUACCGCAUGGUAGAGAGGUCAAAGAAAUUCGCUUAUGGAGGGGCUCGCGUCCCAUUAGGUAGUUGGUAGGGUAAAGGCCUACCAAGCCGACGAUGGGUAGCCGACCUGAGAGGGUGAUCGGCCACACUGGAACUGAGACACGGUCCAG
This 343-nucleotide ribosomal RNA is filed under the name uncultured bacterium. RNAcentral describes it as "bacterial SSU rRNA". It matches the Rfam family "Bacterial small subunit ribosomal RNA", at positions 8 to 334 of the family's 1533-position model. The record is from RNAcentral.